Molecule: transfer RNA, 67 nt
Filed under: bovine gut metagenome
Rfam family: tRNA
About the family: Transfer RNA (tRNA) molecules are approximately 80 nucleotides in length. Their secondary structure includes four short double-helical elements and three loops (D, anti-codon, and T loops).
Source: RNAcentral
UUUUAGCUCAGUGGUAGAGCGUCACGUUCACAUCGUGGGGAUCGUAGGUUCGAAUCCUGCAAUAUCC